Molecule: ribosomal RNA, 497 nt
Filed under: uncultured bacterium
Lineage: Bacteria
Description: partial 16S ribosomal RNA
Rfam family: Bacterial small subunit ribosomal RNA
Source: RNAcentral
GAUGAACGCUGGCGGUGUGCCUAAUACAUGCAAGUCGAGCGAACAGGCGAGGAGCUUGCUCCUCUGACGUUAGCGGCGGACGGGUGAGUAACACGUGGAUAACCUACCUAUAAGACUGGGAUAACUUCGGGAAACCGGAGCUAAUACCGGAUAAUAUAUUGAACCGCAUGGUUCAAUAGUGAAAGACGGUUUUGCUGUCACUUAUAGAUGGAUCCGCGCCGCAUUAGCUAGUUGGUAAGGUAACGGCUUACCAAGGCAACGAUGCGUAGCCGACCUGAGAGAGUGAUCGGCCACACUGGAACUGAGACACGGUCCAGACUCCUACGGGAGGCAGCAGUAGGGAAUCUUCCGCAAUGGGCGAAAGCCUGACGGAGCAACGCCGCGUGAGUGAUGAAGGUCUUCGGAUCGUAAAACUCUGUUAUUAGGGAAGAACAAAUGUGUAAGUAACUAUGCACGUCUUGACGGUACCUAAUCAGAAAGCCACGGCUAACUACGUG